Molecule: long non-coding RNA, 998 nt
Filed under: Equus caballus (horse)
Lineage: Eukaryota; Metazoa; Chordata; Mammalia; Perissodactyla; Equidae
Description: lncRNA (ENSECAG00000057832.1)
Source: RNAcentral
AUCACAUUCUAGGAGACAAAACAAGUUUAGUAAAUUUUAAAGGAUUCAAGUCUAACAAAGUAUGAAGUUAAACUAGAAAUCAAUAAUAGAAUAUCUCCAGAAAAACUGCUAACCAUUUGGAAACUAAUUUACACACUUCUAAGUAACAGAGCUUUCUUGAGCAUCGCAGAACCUGGGCACAGGGAGGCCAGAGUCAGCGAGUCUACAGGCUGGAUGUUACAAAGGUUUCCAGAGUAGGGGAAAUCAAGAGCACAAUGUGACGUCAGCCUUUCCGGAGCCUCAAGGACAUUCAAAGGCUUUGUUUUUCAUUCAGCUAUUGAGCUACUGAGAAACACUUCAAUCCUGUAUCCUCAAAACACUAGCAACAAAGGCUGAGUAUGGAAGCUUACGUUACUGAUUUCAGACCUUUCUUCUCUUAGGAUGCAUCCUCACAAAUCCAGUGGAAUCAGAGGUACCCUAACAGUUGAAUAGUUCUAUCUUUCUCUCUCAUUCAAGGCUGGAAUCUGACAUCUACUAAUACUGAGAAAUCAUGACACCUCCACAACAUGGUUGGUGAAUGGAGUAGGUCCACACCCGGGAUCCAAACCUGUGAACCCAGGCCACUGAAGCGGAGUGUAGGGAACUUUAUACUUGACCAUGGGGCUGGGCCCUAAUGUUGGAUUUGCAUCUGCCACUUUGCUUUUUAAUUUUUAUGUCUCAUAUAUUUUUAUUUCCUCUGUUGCUUCUUUACUGUAUUUUUUUGCAGCAAAUACAUACUUUCUAUUUCAUCAUUUUUAUUCCGUUAUUACCAUUGUUGUUUUCACCAUAUUUUGGGUGUUAUUUUCUUAGCGUUUUUUCUGGAGAUUACAAUAUGUAUCUUAAUUUAUCACAACCAACUUCAGAUCAAUAUUAACAAUUCCAGUAAAACAUAGAUUUUUUUCCAACAAAGCUCCUCUUUUCCCUUCUCCUUUGUGAUAUUAUUACCAUUUCUAUUACAUACACACACGUUAAGGUUCAAC